RNAcentral lists this ribosomal RNA (497 nucleotides) under uncultured bacterium. RNAcentral describes it as "partial 16S ribosomal RNA". It matches the Rfam family "Bacterial small subunit ribosomal RNA", at positions 28 to 507 of the family's 1533-position model. The record is from RNAcentral.
GAUGAACGCUGGCGGCGUGCCUAAUACAUGCAAGUCGAGCGAACAGAUGAGGAGCUUGCUCCUCUGACGUUAGCGGCGGACGGGUGAGUAACACGUGGAUAACCUACCUAUAAGACUGGGAUAACUUCGGGAAACCGGAGCUAAUACCGGAUAAUAUAUUGAACCGCAUGGUUCAAUAGUGAAAGACGGUUUUGCUGUCACUUAUAGAUGGAUCCGCGCCGCAUUAGCUAGUUGGUAAGGUAACGGCUUACCAAGGCGACGAUGCGUAGCCGACCUGAGAGGGUGAUCGGCCACACUGGAACUGAGACACGGUCCAGACUCCUACGGGAGGGAGCAGUAGGGAAUCUUCCGCAAUGGGCGAAAGCCUGACGGAGCAACGCCGCGUGAGUGAUGAAGGUCUUCGGAUCGUAAAACUCUGUUAUUAGGGAAGAACAAAUGGUUAAGUAACUAUGCACGUCUUGACGGUACCUAAUCAGAAAGCCACGGCUAACUACGUG